Molecule: unclassified non-coding RNA, 430 nt
Filed under: Hevea brasiliensis (rubber tree)
Lineage: Eukaryota; Viridiplantae; Streptophyta; Magnoliopsida; Malpighiales; Euphorbiaceae
Source: RNAcentral
AAAAUUUUUAAGUGUUUCAAAUAUUAAAAUAUAUGAAAAUAUUUUCUAUAAAAAAUGGAGCCUAAUAGUGAUAAUUUUUGUAACGAUUUUAUCUAAAUACUUGUCUUCGAUCUUCCUGCUUUAUUCUUUCUGGUAGUUUCAAUUUCCUCUCUUUAAUCAUUCCUUGCUUUUGCUAGUCUUGGUCUGAGGCCAUUACUACGGGGUUGACAAUGUAAGCUUUUGGAAGAAAUCAAAUAGCCGAAAUCCAACAUCAAUUAGAUCAAUCCAAGUUGUAAUAAAUUAAGAGUUACGUGGUCAAUCCUUGUGCUCUUCUCUAUCAGCUGAAUUAAAUGAAAUUGAGUCUGGACUUUGAAGCUGACUACUGCUCCUCCAAACAUAAAGAAUUUUUUAGAUUUUUUUUGGUAUUCUACUGAGAAUUGUUAAAGACAAA